RNAcentral lists this microRNA (22 nucleotides) under Drosophila virilis. RNAcentral's name for it is "dvi-miR-9719-3p". Lineage: Eukaryota; Metazoa; Arthropoda; Insecta; Diptera; Drosophilidae. The record is from miRBase by way of RNAcentral.
UAUAUUUUAGCCGUGUUCCAUG